Molecule: long non-coding RNA, 751 nt
Organism: Eublepharis macularius
Lineage: Eukaryota; Metazoa; Chordata; Lepidosauria; Squamata; Eublepharidae
Exons: 3
Source: RefSeq, a predicted model, not a curated record
CCAUUUUAGACUUGCAGCAGUAUGAUGCACACUGCAGCAGAACCGAGUGGCAGUUCUUCCUGUAUUGAGAAAAGCAGAAGAUUCCUCUUCUUGCUGGAGGAAGGGAAUGGAAAGAACAUCAGCAGAAACAGCUUCUUGAUGAAAGAAGAUUUCAGAUACAUUUCCCUGAGGAGGAAAAUAGAAGGAGGAAUUAGAACAGCUUGGUGUGACCAAUUCUGCAGUCCCUUUAGGCUGAAGUGCUAGUUAAAGAAGCAAACAUCACAAAGCUAUAUCCUGCUAGAAUCUGAAAUGUUUGUCUUAGCAGUUGUUUGUUAUGUCCUCUUGACUCUUUUACCAUGACACAAAAUUGAGACUCUGAAAAUGUUGUGAAACAUCUUGUGCAUUUAUAAUACGUUUAUAUAUUAAAUCUACAUAUAUGUAUUUGUAUUUCUAAUAAAAUUAAUGAGCAAAUGCAUUAUUGGUACAAAUUCCCAUCUCCCAAAAGGAAUUUUAAACAAUAAAGAUGGCUGCAUCCUCAGUAAAUGACUCAUGAAUUACGCAUGAGUAGGCGCUGCUUGUGAUCUAUAUUGCAAAUUAAGGAAAAAUACACUUACAGUGCGAUCCUAAGCAGAGCUACUGCCUUCUAAGCUUAUUGACUUCAGCGGUUUUAGAAAGGUGCAGCCUGCUAACUGUGCUGUUAAAUAACUAAAAAUGGCUAUUCAAAUCUCUUUUCCUAAACCUUUAGUAUUAUCUAGAUUAAAGUGUUCUUCAG